Molecule: ribosomal RNA, 450 nt
Filed under: uncultured bacterium
Lineage: Bacteria
Description: partial 16S ribosomal RNA
Rfam family: Bacterial small subunit ribosomal RNA
Source: RNAcentral
GUGAGGAAUAUUGGGCAAUGGGCGAAAGCCUGACCCAGCCACGCCGCGUGAGUGAUGAAGGCCUUCGGGCUGUAAAGCUCUGUGGGGAGGGAAGAAAAAGCGCAGGAGUAACUGCCUGUGUGUUGACGGUACCUCCUUAGCAAGCACCGGCUAACUCUGUGCCAGCAGCCGCGGUAAUACAGAGGGUGCAAACGUUGCUCGGAAUUACUGGGCGUAAAGCGCGUGUAGGCUGACAUGCAAGUCGGGUGUGAAAUCCCAGGGCUCAACCUUGGAACUGCACUCGAAACUGCACGUCUUGAGUACUGGAGAGGGAAGCGGAAUUCCGGGUGUAGAGGUGAAAUUCGUAGAUAUCCGGAGGAACACCAGUGGCGAAGGCGGCUUCCUGGACAGUAACUGACGCUGAGACGCGAAAGCGUGGGGAGCAAACAGGAUUAGAAACCCGGGUAGUCC